UGUUCAUAAAACAUCAUAAAACCUAAAGCUCAGCAGAGGCUGCCUGCCCCAGCAGCAUGACUCAGCGCCAGAGCCUCCGCAUCUCAUGCUGGUGCUGUGACAGGACAUAGGGCUCCAGGCACACCCUCACCGUGUGGCUUUUUCAGACUUGUGAGGAACAGGGGAAAGCACCCUGGAUGUUUGACUGUCACUUAUGACUUACUUUCCCUGCCCAGCUCUGUGUUGCAAACUGGCAUUAUAGAGUUAAAGAAGGCUAUGCUGAAGUUACUUGAGAAGCCAGGCAGGAAAGGGAAAACAAUAGCUUGGAUAGAAAACAUCCCCAAUCACAGAUGACCAGGCUUAGAGGCGUGGGGAGUGUGUCCUGAGCUCCAGUCCUUGUGAAGGCAGGACAGACGUGGGGGAAUGAAACCCUGCAAGUACAAACCCCGCAGCAAGGCAGGGAGCAGUGGAGGGCUGCCGGGCUGUGGCAGUGAGGUGAGAUGCUGUCAGCCUGGGGAGGCUGUGAUGGAGACAGAGGUGUCGGCUGUGAGCAAUGCUGGCUGCUCCUGUGGCUUCUGAGGAUGAGUGAAUGGGAUCUGCCAGGUCUGGGAACACAGUGGAUGCAUUUAGAAGAGCGUGGAUUUUGUACGGAGGAUGGUUCUGAAUGUCAGGACUGACGUUUUCUCGAUCUGAACACAGCACUGCACACCAGCCUUGCUCUGGUUCCCACCAGCCCCAGCUACAACACAUCCCAAGUGCCACGCACGAGCCAGGGACACGGCCCAAGGAUGAAGUAACGGGAGCUGACUUGCGGUGUGCAACGUGAUCAGGGCAGCACAGAGCAGCAUCGGGUGAACUGAACAGGGUGCGAGCAGAGCUCACCAUGUCCUGGGCUGCACCAGCCUUCCUGCUCCCUUCCUGCUAUUCCUCGAAAAGCUCCCAGCCGCAUACUGGCAUGAACUGAUCCCACUCAGUUCUUGGCAUUUAGCAUUCUCACGGGCUGCAGUGAUUCAUAGAAAGCUCCUUGUUCUGCCCCUGGAAUGAGCGUACAUGAUUCAGAGCCUUUUUUUUUUCACGCAGCUAUGCUGCAGUCUCCUAAAAAUGCAUGUGCAGGCAGAUCGUUCUGCAAAUCCUAUGGCAACGGGCUGCACAGCGGCUGGCUGGCUGCAUGACAAUGUGCAAGGCUUGUGCAUGGAGAAACACCACACUCACAGGGAGAAAACUUCCUAGGAAUAUUAGUAUUCAGCACCCACUACCAAGAUAUCAGAGCAAUCCGGCAAGGUCUGACUGCUCAGAAUUAUUAUUCAUGUACAGUGGAAUACGCAUUUUUUUUUAAGCAGCAUUGUGAAUUAAUGCUAGCAAAAUGUAAUUUGUAAUUUAAAUGUAAAUCGGAAUUGACUAAGAAUAUAAUUAAGCUCUGGAUCCCUCAGUGGUAUUUGCUAAACAGUCUGUUUUGUGGUGCUUUAUUCACCAAGAUGUUAAAGUUCACUGUCCAUCCUGAAUACCUCCAAGUAUGUUAUCUGUAUACGUGUGCCACAAAUACAUAAGUAACAACAAAAGCUCAGGGCUGAUCCAUGUGACGCAGUUGAUGUAUUUCUGCCAAAACAAAGGCUGCUUUGCACAGAGGGUUAGAUGACAACUUGCUUUUCCUGUGCACUUUUUCAGCCCAUUUUACAUACAAAGGUACCUGGGCCCAAAGCCUGCUGCCAGACACAUGGCUCCUCUUCCCUUUGACGAGCAGAACUGAAAUCAUUACUGACAGCUGAAAUUAAGAUUUUAAUAAUCACUCGAGCUCGUUUUCGCAUAGACCCAAGAGGAGCACAUCCUACGACGUGUGGUGUGUCAGCCACUUGCAUCAAAGUAAAUGAAAGCCGAGGCUUUGCAGCGCUGGAAGGAUGUUCAGCAACUUUCUGCAUGCUGCAGCCAAGUGGGUUUUCUUCAUACAAAUACUGGGUAUAGGUGCAGUGGGAAGCUUGCCCUUUUAUGAAGGUGAGGACAUACGUACGUUAGCAGUAUGCAGAGUGUAAAUGGUGUUAAACAGUGCCCUUCCAUCAUCUUGUAUCACUGAAUACUUUCUGGCAUCUGUUUGUUUUAUAUCCCUCUCCAGAGAUGGAUGCACUGGCUGGAAGUUUGUCUGCUCCUGUGCAUUGAUCUGAAAAUGUUCAGUUUUGAGCUUCAAACUUCACUUUCUGGAGCUGCUUCAAGGAAAGCUUGAUUUAAACUCACCUGGGAUUUCCUAAAUCCUUCCCCUAAACUCUGAGUCGUUUUACAUGAAAAGAUGUGUUGGCUGGUGGGUCUCUAGUCUCACCUGCUGCCCCAGGUGGACUGGCCACAACAGCUGGGGCAAGGGGUAGAGCAAAGGAGACACUGCUUUCCUUAGCUCUGCUUGGAAACCUUUAAGAUGGAGGAUUUCCAAGGACAGGCCUCUCUCUCCCUGGAUACCCAUCCCAGCUCUGUGCCACCCUCCUGGUGAAAGAGAUAUUCUGUCCACUCCGGGGAGCCUAUGACUUGAUGAUCUUUUGCUCAACAACUACAAAAAAUUCAGAAGAAUCCUCAUCCAGGUUACAGGAGCAUUGAAGAAGGGGGAGUGUACCAGAAUCCUGAAGGUUGGUUUUCCCACUGAUUUGCAAGACAUCUUUGUAGCAUACAGUGUUGAACUCUGUACAUAUAGUGUUGAAGUCCUGUAUUUAAAUUAAAAAAAUGAAUACACAAAAUGUUAUUGUUCAUAUGCAAAAACGCUUACAUGCAAAUCCUAAAUUUAUUGCCAUAAAAAUCUUAUCAGCUUACCUUAA
Molecule: long non-coding RNA, 2771 nt
Organism: Coturnix japonica (Japanese quail)
Lineage: Eukaryota; Metazoa; Chordata; Aves; Galliformes; Phasianidae
Source: RefSeq, a predicted model, not a curated record